UGAUUCCCCUAGUAACGGCGAGCGAAGCGGGAAAAGCCCAGACCAAAAUCCGCGGGUCUCUGGCCCGUCGGAGCUGUGGUCUUUGAGCCGGGGAUAUGCCAUGGUGCGAACCUUCUCAAGUUUCUUGGAAAGGGGCCUCCCAUAGAGGGUGCUAGGCCUGUAGGUGGGGGGUUCGUACAAUGGCGCUUCCACGGCCUUAGAGUCGGGUUGUUUGGGAAUGCAGCCCAAAGUCGGUGGUAUGCUCCAUCUAAGGCUAAAUACUAGCACGAGUCCGAUAGCGAACAAGUACCGUGAGGGAAAGUU
This 303-nucleotide ribosomal RNA is filed under the name Pectinaria lizhei. RNAcentral describes it as "Pectinaria sp. l JZ-2022 partial large subunit ribosomal RNA". It matches the Rfam family "Eukaryotic large subunit ribosomal RNA", at positions 72 to 365 of the family's 3401-position model. Lineage: Eukaryota; Metazoa; Annelida; Polychaeta; Terebellida; Pectinariidae. The record is from RNAcentral.